AGUGAACGCUGGCGGUAGGCCUAACACAUGCAAGUCGAACGGCAGCACAGGAGAGCUUGCUCUCUGGGUGGCGAGUGGCGGACGGGUGAGGAAUACAUCGGAAUCUACUCUGUCGUGGGGGAUAACGUAGGGAAACUUACGCUAAUACCGCAUACGACCUACGGGUGAAAGCAGGGGACCUUCGGGCCUUGCGCGAUUGAAUGAGCCGAGGUCGGAUUAGCUAGUUGGCGGGGUAAAGGCCCACCAAGGCGACGAUCCGUAGCUGGUCUGAGAGGAGGCUCAGCCACAGUAGAACUGAGACACGGUCCAGACUCCUACGGGAGGCAGCAGUGGGGAAUAUUGCACAAUGGGCGCAAGCCUGAUCCAGCCAUACCGCGUGGGUGAAUAGGGCCUUCGGGUUGUAAAGCCCUUUUGUUGGGAAAGAAAUCCAGCUGGCUAAUACGCGGUUGGGAUGACGGUACCCAAAGAAUAAGCACCGGCUAACUUCGUGCCAGCCGCCGCGGUAA
RNAcentral lists this ribosomal RNA (506 nucleotides) under uncultured bacterium. RNAcentral's name for it is "partial 16S ribosomal RNA". It matches the Rfam family "Bacterial small subunit ribosomal RNA", at positions 29 to 523 of the family's 1533-position model. The record is from RNAcentral.